This 377-nucleotide ribosomal RNA is filed under the name uncultured eukaryote. RNAcentral's name for it is "partial 18S ribosomal RNA". It matches the Rfam family "Eukaryotic small subunit ribosomal RNA", at positions 592 to 976 of the family's 1831-position model. The record is from RNAcentral.
CAAUAGCGUAUAUUUAAGUUGCUGCAGUUAAAAAGCUCGUAGUUGGAUUUCGGGUGGGAAUGGCCGAUCCGCCGUUUCGGUGUGCACUUGCUACGCCCACCUUGCUGCCGGGGACGUGCUCUUGAGUUCACGCUCGGGACACGGAGUCGGCGAGGUUACUUUGAGUAAAUUAGAGUGUUCAAAGCAGGCCUACGCUCUGAAUACAUUAGCAUGGAAUAACACGAUAGGACUCUGGCCUAUCUUGUUGGUCUGUAGGACCGGAGUAAUGAUUAAGAGGGACAGUCGGGGGCAUUCGUAUUUCAUUGUCAGAGGUGAAAUUCUUGGAUUUAUGAAAGACGAACUUCUGCGAAAGCAUUUGUCAAGGAUGUUUUCAUUAA